Molecule: long non-coding RNA, 628 nt
Filed under: Brassica napus (rape)
Lineage: Eukaryota; Viridiplantae; Streptophyta; Magnoliopsida; Brassicales; Brassicaceae
Description: long non-coding RNA (BNAP_LNC001704)
Source: RNAcentral
CUGACAAGUUUCCACUAAUCAUUAAAAAUUAAUGUGUUUCCAUGUUAUUAUAUUGUCAAGAAAAAACGGUCUCGCUUCAAAGUUCAAAGCUAAUAAGAGUAUAAGCAACCCCUAUGGUAGUUUCUUACCAUGAAAUUCAAAAACUAUAUAUUAGUGUAUUUAGAUAAAGAGUAUAUUAAAAAAAUUGAAAACCCAACUAACAAUAUCUCAUUUAACAUAUUAUUAGUAAUUUCCGAAAUUUUUUGUAUAUUUUUAAUUCAUUAUAUGUAGUAAUACGUGAUUUAAGAAUUCUAUGGUAAAAAACUACCAUUGGUGGCGCUCUCAAGAAGAAGGUUCGUGAGUUGGGAACACAAACACAAUGUUGUAUGAAAGUAUAUUAUUUUAUCAUUUAUGUUGUUUUUAUGUCAGAAAGAGGAACAAUUUUUGCCCAAAAAAGAAGAAGAACAAGGUAUGUGGUCCAAAUCCAAAAGAAAAUUUCUUACUGAUUUGGAAAUGAGAUUUGACUUUGGCUAACAUAUAUUGGUCUACAAGCAGGUCCACAUACUUAUUAAACAGAGAAUCCAAAGUAUCAUGCCUAUCCACUAACAGUCUAACACCUCACAGAACUCUACCAAGAAACCCUCACCUC